CAGUAGCCGCGGUAAAACGGAGGGCGCGAGCGUUACCCGGAUUUACUGGGCGUAAAGGGCGUGUAGGCGGCCUGGGGCGUCCCAUGUGAAAGGCCACGGCUCAACCGUGGAGGAGCGUGGGAUACGCUCAGGCUAGAGGGUGGGAGAGGGUGGUGGAAUUCCCGGAGUAGCGGUGAAAUGCGCAGAUACCGGGAGGAACGCCGAUGGCGAAGGCAGCCACCUGGUCCACUUCUGACGCUGAGGCGCGAAAGCGUGGGGAGCAAACCGGAUUAGAUACCCCCGUAGUCCCUGUCUCUUAUAC
RNAcentral lists this ribosomal RNA (301 nucleotides) under uncultured bacterium. Its description in RNAcentral is "partial 16S ribosomal RNA". It matches the Rfam family "Bacterial small subunit ribosomal RNA", at positions 509 to 807 of the family's 1533-position model. The record is from RNAcentral.